CCCCAGUAACGGCGAGUGAAGCGGCAAGAGCUCAAAUUUGAAAUCUGGCACAAGCCCGAGUUGUAAUUUGAAGAGGAUGCCUCGGUUGCGGCCCCAGCCCAAGUUUCUUGGAACAGAACGUCAAGGAGGGUGAGAAUCCCGUCCGGCUGCCGGCUUAUACCAUGUGUGGCUCCUUCGAAGAGUCGAGUUGUUUGGGAAUGCAGCUCAAAAUGGGUGGUAGAUUUCCAUCUAAAGCUAAAUACUGGCGAGAGACCGAUAGCGCACAAGUAGAGUGAUCGAAAGAUGAAAAGCACUUUGAAAAGAGAGUUAAACAGUACGUGAAAUUGUUGAAAGGGAAGCGCUUGCGAUCAGACUCACUAGCGGUUGAUCAACGUUCCUUCUGGUUCGUGCACUCUGCCGCCGGUGGGCCAGCAUCGGUUGGGACGGCGGGACAAAGGCGCUGGGAAUGUGGCUCCUCGGAGUGUUAUAGCCCAGUGUGUAAUGCCGCCUGCCCCGACUGAGGUCCGCGCUUCGGCUAGGAUGCUGGCUUAAUGGUCGUAAGCGACCCGUCUUGAAACACGGACCAAGGAGUCUAACAUCUAUGCAAGUUUUUGGGUGCAAAACCCAUGAGCGCAAUGAAAGUGAACGGAGGUGGGAGCCUUAGGGUGCACCAUCGACCGAUCCUGAUGUUCUCGGAUGGAUUUGAGUAUGAGCAUAGCUGUUGGGACCCGAAAGAUGGUGAACUAUGCCUGAAUAGGGUGAAGCCAGAGGAAACUCUGGUGGAGGCUCGCAGCGGUUCUGACGUGCAAAUCGAUCGUCAAAUUUGGGUAUAGGGGCGAAAGAC
This 823-nucleotide ribosomal RNA is filed under the name Orbilia xanthostigma. Its description in RNAcentral is "partial large subunit ribosomal RNA". It matches the Rfam family "Eukaryotic large subunit ribosomal RNA", at positions 78 to 931 of the family's 3401-position model. The record is from RNAcentral. Lineage: Eukaryota; Fungi; Ascomycota; Orbiliomycetes; Orbiliales; Orbiliaceae.